This 561-nucleotide ribosomal RNA is filed under the name Vibrio parahaemolyticus. Its description in RNAcentral is "partial 23S ribosomal RNA". It matches the Rfam family "Bacterial large subunit ribosomal RNA", at positions 1 to 608 of the family's 2925-position model. The record is from RNAcentral. Lineage: Bacteria; Pseudomonadati; Pseudomonadota; Gammaproteobacteria; Vibrionales; Vibrionaceae.
GUAUGGUUAAGUGACUAAGCGUACACGGUGGAUGCCUUGGCAGUCAGAGGCGAUGAAGGACGUAUUAACUUGCGAUAAGCCCAGAUUAGGCAGUAAAAGCCACUUGAGUCUGGGAUUUCCGAAUGGGGAAACCCAACUGCAUAAGCAGUUACUGUUAACUGAAUACAUAGGUUAACAGGGCGAACCGGGGGAACUGAAACAUCUAAGUACCCCGAGGAAAAGAAAUCAACCGAGAUUCCGAAAGUAGCGGCGAGCGAAAUUGGACUAGCCCUUAAGCUUUACACGCGUUAGACGAACGGUCUGGAAAGUCCGACGAUACAGGGUGAUAGUCCCGUAGUUGACGACGUGUGUUCAGUGAAAUCGAGUAGGGCGGGACACGUGAUAUCCUGUCUGAAUAUGGGGGGACCAUCCUCCAAGGCUAAAUACUACUGACUGACCGAUAGUGAACCAGUACCGUGAGGGAAAGGCGAAAAGAACCCCUGUGAGGGGAGUGAAAUAGAACCUGAAACCGUGUACGUACAAGCAGUAGGAGCAGGCUUUGUCCUGUGACUGCGUACCUUU